CCUACGGGCGGCAGCAGCGGGGAAUAUUGCACAAUGGGCGCAAGCCUGAUGCAGCCAUGCCGCGUGUGUGAAGAAGGCCUUCGGGUUGUAAAGCACUUUCAGCGGGGAGGAAGGCGGUGAGGUUAAUAACCUCAUCGAUUGACGUUACCCGCAGAAGAAGCACCGGCUAACUCCGUGCCAGCAGCCGCGGUAAUACGGAGGGUGCAAGCGUUAAUCGGAAUUACUGGGCGUAAAGCGCACGCAGGCGGUCUGUCAAGUCGGAUGUGAAAUCCCCGGGCUCAACCUGGGAACUGCAUUCGAAACUGGCAGGCUAGAGUCUUGUAGAGGGGGGUAGAAUUCCAGGUGUAGCGGUGAAAUGCGUAGAGAUCUGGAGGAAUACCGGUGGCGAAGGCGGCCCCCUGGACAAAGACUGACGCUCAGGUGCGAAAGCGUGGGGAGCAAACAGGAUUAGAUACCCGAGUAGUC
This 465-nucleotide ribosomal RNA is filed under the name uncultured Klebsiella sp. Its description in RNAcentral is "bacterial SSU rRNA". It matches the Rfam family "Bacterial small subunit ribosomal RNA", at positions 338 to 795 of the family's 1533-position model. Lineage: Bacteria; Pseudomonadati; Pseudomonadota; Gammaproteobacteria; Enterobacterales; Enterobacteriaceae. The record is from RNAcentral.